Molecule: transfer-messenger RNA, 399 nt
Filed under: Bacteroidales
Lineage: Bacteria; Pseudomonadati; Bacteroidota; Bacteroidia
Also listed under: 1 other name
Description: UBA6192 sp002422725 Standard tmRNA
Rfam family: transfer-messenger RNA
About the family: Bacterial tmRNA, also known as 10Sa RNA or SsrA, is named for its dual tRNA and mRNA-like properties. Its role is to liberate the mRNA from a stalled ribosome.
Source: RNAcentral
GGGGCUGACCGGUUUUGACAGCAAGAUGAGUGGUUAUGUAAGCAUGCCGAGCCUUGCGAUGACGCUCGGAAAUCUUGAUCGCGAACAACAAUUGGCGAAAACAAUUACGCUCUCGCUGCUUAAUCGAAGCAUAGUAGAUUCAAGCUUCAUUUCGUCACCAGGUGGCGGAACGAGACAUCCCGCAGGUGGAAAUUCCUGAUACCGGCCUGAGCACGGGGUGCUAAUCAAUUUUGGGAUAGUUCUGUGAGCGCUUCGAUCACAGAGCGAAAUUCAGAAGAUAAGAUGUGGUUUAGGAUGCCUGUUUCCUUGCCACAUUCGAAAACCAACAGCAGGAUAAGCAUGUAGAAAGCUUAGUUAUUCCUUGUUUGGACGAGGGUUCGAAUCCCUCCAGCUCCACAA